RNAcentral lists this transfer RNA (66 nucleotides) under Iassus dorsalis. RNAcentral's name for it is "tRNA-Ile". Lineage: Eukaryota; Metazoa; Arthropoda; Insecta; Hemiptera; Cicadellidae. The record is from RNAcentral.
AAUAAAAUGCCUGACAAAAGGAAUACUAUGAUAUAGUAUAUAAUGUAAACAAAUUUACUUUUAUUG